This 253-nucleotide unclassified non-coding RNA is filed under the name uncultured Alphaproteobacteria bacterium. RNAcentral describes it as "contains 16S-23S intergenic spacer region". It matches the Rfam family "Bacterial small subunit ribosomal RNA", at positions 524 to 776 of the family's 1533-position model. Lineage: Bacteria; Pseudomonadati; Pseudomonadota; Alphaproteobacteria. The record is from RNAcentral.
UACGAAGGGGGCUAGCGUUGUUCGGAAUUACUGGGCGUAAAGCGCACGUAGGCGGGUCAUUAAGUCAGGGGUGAAAUCCCGGGGCUCAACCUCGGAAUUGCCUCUGAUACUGGUGGCCUUGAGUCCGAGAGAGGUGAGUGGAACUCCGAGUGUAGAGGUGAAAUUCGUAGAUAUUCGGAAGAACACCAGUGGCGAAGGCGGCUCACUGGCUCGGUACUGACGCUGAGGUACGAAAGCAUGGGGAGCAAACAGG